Mobula hypostoma (lesser devil ray) is the source of this 697-nucleotide long non-coding RNA. RefSeq lists it as uncharacterized. NCBI's taxonomy places the organism in Eukaryota, Metazoa, Chordata, Chondrichthyes, Myliobatiformes, Myliobatidae. The record is from RefSeq and is a predicted model, not a curated record. The transcript is spliced from 4 exons.
GUCAGAACCAACAUGGAAGCAGAGGAAGACACAUGGCCCUAAAUUAACCUUAUUUUUCAUGUGGUCCAAGAGGUGCACAUGAAUCAUCCUUAUGAACUGCCUCCGGACCAUCUCUAAUGCCAGCACAUCUUUUCGACAAGGAGCCCGAAACUGUUCACAAUACUCAAGACAAUCAAGAGCUUGAAGAGUGAAAAGAAUAAGCUGAUGUAAUUUAACACAAUGAACCUCCAGCUCAGCUAAUAUUCUCUGUUGCUGGCAAUGCGAACAUCGACUGAUCAUCCCUAAUUUCAUCUCAUCUGAGGCAGCAGUUGGGAAUUAGUGCGUCUGGAGCACAAACAGUACCAGCGAUCACCGAUGGGGAUUGAUUCCUGCUACUGCCUAUAAGAAGAUGUAAUCACCCUGUGACCAUGUGAGUUUCCUCUCUCAUUCCCAAGAUGUACAAGUUGGGGUUAGUGAGUUGUGGCAUUCUAUGAUGGCACGGAGAGUGUGGCAACACUUGCAGGCUGCCCCAGCACAAUUCUCAGUUAGCUGGUCGCUGAUACAAAAUGGCGUGCUUCAUUGUAUGUUUUGAUAUACAUGUAACAAAUAAAGCUAAUCUCAUCAGAAUCAAAUAUUUUUAUAGCACCACUGUUUUUACCAAUUCACUUGAUAUUGUAUAGUUUAAGUGAGCCACAGGUUCGUCAUCAUCAGUUAAAGU